RNAcentral lists this ribosomal RNA (245 nucleotides) under uncultured bacterium. RNAcentral's name for it is "partial 16S ribosomal RNA". It matches the Rfam family "Bacterial small subunit ribosomal RNA", at positions 15 to 235 of the family's 1533-position model. The record is from RNAcentral.
GAUCCUGGCUCAGGACGAACGCUGGCGGCGUGCCUAACACAUGCAAGUCGAACGAAGCUCUGCGAUACAAGACUUCGGUCAAGUUGAACGGAUGACUUAGUGGCGGACGGGUGAGUAACGCGUGAGGAACCUGCCUUUCAGUGGGGGACGAACAGUUGGAAACGAACUGCUAAUACCGCAUAAUGUAUUCUGACCGCAUGAUCGGAAUACCAAACGAAUUUAUUUGUCUGAAAGAAUGGCCUCCG